AACGAACGCUGGCGGCAUGCCUAACACAUGCAAGUCGAACGAGACCUUCGGGUCUAGUGGCGCACGGGUGCGUAACGCGUGGGAACCUGCCCUUAGGUUCGGAAUAACUCCCCGAAAGGGGUGCUAAUACCGGAUAAUGUCUUCGGACCAAAGAUUUAUCGCCUUUGGAUGGGCCCGCGUUGGAUUAGCUAGUUGGUAGGGUAAAAGCCUACCAAGGCGACGAUCCAUAGCUGGUCUGAGAGGAUGAUCAGCCACACUGGGACUGAGACACGGCCCAGACUCCUACGGGAGGCAGCAGUAGGGAAUAUUGGACAAUGGGCGAAAGCCUGAUCCAGCAAUGCCGCGUGAGUGAUGAAGGCCUUAGAGUUGUAAAGCUCUUUUACCCGGGAUGAUAAUGACAGUACCGGGAGAAUAAGCUCCGGCUAACUCCGUG
This 433-nucleotide ribosomal RNA is filed under the name uncultured bacterium. RNAcentral describes it as "partial 16S ribosomal RNA". It matches the Rfam family "Bacterial small subunit ribosomal RNA", at positions 29 to 507 of the family's 1533-position model. The record is from RNAcentral.